UUAAAUUACUGGUAAUACAUACUUCUCAAAUUCAUCAUCGUCUAAUUCAACACAGUCAAAAUGUUCUUUAGCUUCCUAUCAACAUACACUAUACCACAGUGAAUGACAAAGAUAUUCUCAUACAUGUGUGUUAAUUUUAGCUAUUAUGUUCAUAUGAGUAUAAUGGCAUAAAUCUCGCUUAUUCUCUUCUUGUAUCCCCUAUGUAUUGGAUUCUGCUGGUGAUGAAU
This 227-nucleotide long non-coding RNA is filed under the name Carica papaya (papaya). RNAcentral describes it as "long non-coding RNA (CPAP_LNC004083)". The record is from RNAcentral. Lineage: Eukaryota; Viridiplantae; Streptophyta; Magnoliopsida; Brassicales; Caricaceae.